This 494-nucleotide ribosomal RNA is filed under the name uncultured bacterium. RNAcentral's name for it is "partial 16S ribosomal RNA". It matches the Rfam family "Bacterial small subunit ribosomal RNA", at positions 28 to 507 of the family's 1533-position model. The record is from RNAcentral.
GACGAACGCUGGCGGCGUGCUUAACACAUGCAAGUCGAACGGUGAAGCGCCUUCCUUUUUGGUGGUCGUGGAUGAGUGGCGAACGGGUGAGUAACACGUGAGUAACCUGCCCCCUUCUUCUGGAUAACCGCAUGAAAGUGUGGCUAAUACGGGAUAUUCUGGGUCUGUCGCAUGAUGGGUCUGGGAAAGAUAUUGUUUCGGUGGGGCAUGGGCUCGCGGCCUAUCAGCUUGUUGGUGGGGUGAUGGCCUACCAAGGCGGUGACGGGUAGCCGGCCUGGGAGGGUGGACGGUCACACUGGGACUGAGACACGGCGCAGACUCCUACAGGAGGCAGCAGUGGAGAAUAUUGCACAGUGGGCGCAAGCCUGAUGCAGCGACGCCGCGUGAGGGAUGGAGGCCUUCGGGUUGUGAACCUCUUUCGCCAGUGAAGCAGGCCUGCCUCGUUUGUGGGUGGGUUGACGGUAGCUGGAUAAGAAGCGCCGGCUAACUACGUG